Molecule: microRNA precursor, 75 nt
Filed under: Bos taurus (domestic cattle)
Lineage: Eukaryota; Metazoa; Chordata; Mammalia; Artiodactyla; Bovidae
Source: RNAcentral
UGUGGAGAGAUGGUCGACCAUAAAACGUACGUGUGCUUUAUGACGUAUGUCACAUGGUCCACUAAUUCUCAGCAU